UGGUUCUGGCAUCGAUGAAGAACGCAGCGAAAUGCGAUAAGUAAUGUGAAUUGCAGAAUUCAGUGAAUCAUCGAAUCUUUGAACGCACAUUGCGCCCUCUGGUAUUCCGGGGGGCAUGCCUGUUCGAGCGUCAUUACACCCCUCAAGCGCUGCUUGGUGUUGGGCGCCGCCCGCGGGCGCGCCUGGAAAUCAGUGGCGGUGCCGCCUGGCCUCAAGCGUAGUAACUCUUCUCGCUCCGGGGCCCGGCGCGCGCUGGCCAUAACCACACACUUCAAGGUUGACCUCGGAUCAGGUAGGGAUACCCGCUGA
This 309-nucleotide unclassified non-coding RNA is filed under the name uncultured fungus. RNAcentral's name for it is "partial contains 5.8S ribosomal RNA and internal transcribed spacer 2". The stretch from base 1 to 133 matches the Rfam family "5.8S ribosomal RNA", at positions 22 to 154 of the family's 154-position model. The record is from RNAcentral. Lineage: Eukaryota; Fungi.